UACAGAGGGUGCAAGCGUUGUUCGGAAUCAUUGGGCGUAAAGGGCGCGUAGGCGGCCUUGUAAGUCAGAUGUGAAAUCCCAGGGCUCAACCCUGGAAGUGCAUCUGAAACUGCAAGGCUAGAGUACCGAAGAGGGUGGUGGAAUUCCCAGUGUAGAGGUGAAAUUCGUAGAUAUUGGGAGGAACAUCAGUGGCGAAGGCGGCCACCUGGUCGGUAACUGACGCUGAGGCGCGAAAGCGUGGGUAGCAAACAGG
RNAcentral lists this ribosomal RNA (253 nucleotides) under uncultured bacterium. RNAcentral describes it as "partial 16S ribosomal RNA". It matches the Rfam family "Bacterial small subunit ribosomal RNA", at positions 524 to 776 of the family's 1533-position model. The record is from RNAcentral.